Harpia harpyja (harpy eagle) is the source of this 1152-nucleotide long non-coding RNA. RefSeq lists it as uncharacterized. NCBI's taxonomy places the organism in Eukaryota, Metazoa, Chordata, Aves, Accipitriformes, Accipitridae. The transcript is spliced from 2 exons. The record is from RefSeq and is a predicted model, not a curated record.
UCCUCAUAUACUCUUCUGUUAUUUCUGAAUAUCAAUUAUUAGCAAGCAUAUUAUCUGAAACUCUACCUUCAGUUCAUUGACGCGUUGCUCAAAUGCUUAACAAAGUAAAUGUGAGACAAGGAGGAAGAGGAAAUUUCUUGAAAAGAUUAAAUCAGAUUAGAGAAAAAGACAGUUGUAACACUACAGAACAGUAAUUACAGUGUACGCUUUACUGUGGCAAGCUCCCAGGAAGGAAUAAAUAAGUAGGGUGAAUGAUGGUGAUUGCACUAUUGAGAUCAUUCUAAUGUAAUAAUCCAUUGAUAGGGUUAAAAGGCAAGAUAGUAGAAAAUUAAACUGCAUAUGAAUUCAGUUGUUAAAACCCACUUUCUUUAAAAACACAUACUUCAUGAAAAUGGGGUAUUUUCUGAUAAGAUAUGGUACAGAGCUGUCAUUGUUAAAACCAAGUACACAAAUAGUAGGACAAAAAUAGUUCACUAUGUGGUAUUCAAGUAUAGCAACUGGACUAUUUUUAUUGCUCUUGGGAUUCACUGUAAAGCAAGGAAGACUAAAGACAAUUCUCUACUGAUGAUCCGCAUUCUCAGAAAUGUAUUAACUAUCAUUAUCUCAGUCAAAAUGUUGAUUUGCAAUGUAACAGGGUUUGCCUAAUGGCUCAACAGUAAAGCAAAAGUCACAACUGCUGUUUCAUCCCCACUAUCAAUAUCUCAUUUGCUACAGUUUCCUUUUUUUGCUUUGUCCAAAAACUCGCAGAAGAAAAGAAAAAUUGCUGACAAUGUGGAUCAUGCCAUGCCGACCUCAGUUCUCAGGAAGCCUGUGUUUUUGUUAACAAAACUGUUGCUUGAUCAGUUGUCCUUACAAUGGUACGUUCUGGAGAAUGCGAAGGAGACCUUAAUGUUGAACUGAGAGGAGGCGAAGCACGUAAUGAUGAUGUAGAGAGACCAUGUCGACGCAUCUCCUGAAUUGCACGCUCUCUACCAACAGAUAGCAAUUUCAGUUACAUAACACUUUGGUACUGCAGGAUGUUAAAGGACGAAAACGUAACUUUUUUUUCCAUAUUUUUACUUGGUGAUUUUCACAAUACUUUGCAAAGAGCCUUUUUUUUCCUCAUAAUGUCACUCAAUUUUCUUCUUGUUUUCAUGAGAAGGGAUUUUUUUU